Molecule: long non-coding RNA, 332 nt
Filed under: Bos taurus (domestic cattle)
Lineage: Eukaryota; Metazoa; Chordata; Mammalia; Artiodactyla; Bovidae
Description: long non-coding RNA NONBTAT025278
Source: RNAcentral
AGGGGACUGAGGGGUUAGACAGGCUGAAGAGAUCCUAAAGAUGACUCUAUUCUUUUAUUCUCUAAAAUUAGACUUUCUGUUUAUUGUCCAGACAGUGAAAUGAUGGCCCAUCAAGGGAUGAAAGAUACCUGAGGUCAGGCUGUGGGUGGAGUCGCAUUAGUACUGAAAUUUCAAAGUGCCAACUCAUCCAGCCUUGUCACAUAGCUCCCUCUUUUUGGAUCUGGAGGCAGCUAAGUGAAAUUGUUUUGAAAAAAUAAAGUAGGCAUGAAGAAACACAGAAUCUCUUGCCUGCUCUUCUUCUCGUUUCUGUGCCCCACACUAAUGCAAUUGGG